RNAcentral lists this ribosomal RNA (89 nucleotides) under Crocidura sp. RWH-2020. RNAcentral describes it as "partial large subunit ribosomal RNA". Lineage: Eukaryota; Metazoa; Chordata; Mammalia; Eulipotyphla; Soricidae. The record is from RNAcentral.
GUAUAACAAAACCUCCGAGUAAUUUUAACUAAGACUUAUCAGUCAAAGUGACUUAACUUAUUGAUCCAAUCAUAUUGAUCAACGGAACA